CCUGGGGUUGAAACCACAGGCUAUUCUCUGUCGUCCCUAAAGGGACU
This 47-nucleotide small RNA is filed under the name Candidatus Magnetoglobus multicellularis str. Araruama. RNAcentral describes it as "Acido-Lenti-1 RNA". It matches the Rfam family "Acido-Lenti-1 RNA". Lineage: Bacteria; Pseudomonadati; Thermodesulfobacteriota; Desulfobacteria; Desulfobacterales; Desulfobacteraceae. The record is from Rfam by way of RNAcentral.